RNAcentral lists this long non-coding RNA (226 nucleotides) under Lathyrus oleraceus (garden pea). RNAcentral's name for it is "Pisum sativum (pea) long non-coding RNA (PSAT_LNC004928)". The record is from RNAcentral. Lineage: Eukaryota; Viridiplantae; Streptophyta; Magnoliopsida; Fabales; Fabaceae.
CAAAUUUAUUAAAAAUCAUCAAAAAAUAAAGGACAUGAUGAGGAACAAAUCACAAAAAGAAUCAUGUAAAUUGGAUGAGUAUUUUAUGAGUUAUGAUUUUUUGAUUGUGGAAGAAAAAAAAAAUAAAUAGAAAUGGAAGCAUGAACAUGAUAAGCAUGGAUGAACAUGUGAAGUAAUGAAGACAAAUAAUGCCAAGCCAAAAAGAAAGUGAUGCCGCCCGGAAUCG